UUUAGAGGACGGAGGGAGUGGAUAGUAAUGGAGUUGAUUUCCUAGUUAAAAAUUACGUUUUCCAAUGAUAAUAGAAUUAGAGUUUUUCGUUUCAUCCCCCAUCCUUAAAUUAGAGUUAAAUAUUGGUUAAGAAAGAUUAUAGGCCACUGUAGCCUUCGGACAUGGUUCUUCUACCUCUUUCCCCAUCUUUAUUCUUCUUUUAUCCUUCCGUUCUAAACCUUGGCUGCAUAAUAGUAAGUGCCCAGUCUUGACACUAUACAUUAUAUGCUUCCAACCCUCUCCAAUUGAGUGUUAAUACAUUUAUGGCUUAUCAUCACAUAUAAUUCAUCGAAGCAAUCAAAAUGCAAGGAUAAUAUUGUGGCAGUAAGACCUAUGCAGCUAGCAAAGAAAGCUUAAUAAAGUCACCAGCUAGUUACCCACUUUUUUCAUUUGGAUUUCUUCAGAUUGCUUAACCUUUCGUUCUGUGAGAGAUUUCCCUUUUCUUCUGUUUUGAUACAUUAAUGUUGGAAUGAUGGGGAUGUGUUUGUAUAGAUUGGUCCACUCAUACUGUCCAUCUAGUCUCAAUCAAAUUUUACCACGAAUUUGUUACCUCAGGCUUGCUCCUCUUCGGCUGAUCCAACUCCAAAGUUUAUGUUAUCCUUAAAUGCCAAAAGUUCUCCAACUGGGCGAGUAUAGUUAAGUUUAGCCCAGUCUGCUCCGCAUAUGCAGCUAAAGUUAUUGAUUUCCUUCAUAAACACCACUUUUCUUCACUUCUAAUAUUGUCAUUAAGGAUUUCAAUUAAGAGUAGUUUUUUUCCCCUAGACAAUCAUUUCAUUAAAAGACGUCAACACUAACACUACUUGACUAGUCAAUUAUUUAACCCAUUCUUUACCUGUACCCAGUCAAAGAGGAUGCAAUUAAUUUUCUGAUCUAAUCAUUUUUAAAUAUAUUGAUCCGUAGCAUAUGGAGUUCUGAUCCUCGUAUAUCCAACUCUUUCUAAACAAAUAUUUCUUAUCUUUCUUCUACUACAAAUCAAUUCCUU
Molecule: long non-coding RNA, 1021 nt
Filed under: Panax ginseng (ginseng)
Lineage: Eukaryota; Viridiplantae; Streptophyta; Magnoliopsida; Apiales; Araliaceae
Description: long non-coding RNA (PGIN_LNC002704)
Source: RNAcentral